Molecule: RNA transcript, 1564 nt
Organism: Rhododendron vialii
Lineage: Eukaryota; Viridiplantae; Streptophyta; Magnoliopsida; Ericales; Ericaceae
Exons: 12
Source: RefSeq, a predicted model, not a curated record
UACUACUAUUUGAGCGGAGCUCAGGAGCAAUCGAUCUCGUCAUUUCCUCACACUGCGUCGUCUCGUCACCAUGUCCGUUGAGAUCAAGCUCUCCCGUUCGAACCGCAUAUAUCGUCCCACUGAGCCACUUGAAGGCACAAUCGUCACCAAAUCUCCAUCUUCCUUCUCCCACUCCGCAAUUCGUCUCAAUGUGAACGGAUCAGUCACCUUGCAGAUCCGAGGCGGAUCAGCUGGAGUGAUCGAGUCUGUAUACGGUGUUUUGAAACCUAUCUCGAUUGUGAAUAAGAGUGUUGAGGUCAAAUCUUCUGGAAGGAUAGGUUCAGGUACAACGGAGAUACCAUUUUCUGUUAUUCUAAAAAAUCCAGGAGACGGCAAUUUAGAAUCGUUUUAUGAAACCUUUCACGGAGCUGAUAUCAGCAUCCAGUAUCUGGCAACUGUAGAAAUACUCAGGGGAUACCUGCAUAAAUCUUUGUCUGCCACUGUGGAGUUCAUAAUCGAGACUGAAAAAGCUAAUCUCCCUGAUCAAGCAAUUUCUCCUGAAAUGGUCUUGUUUUACAUUACCCAGGACACACAAAGACAUCCAUUGCUUCCGGAACUAAAAUCAGGUGGUUUCCGAGUUACUGGUAAAAUAUGCACUCAGUGUUCAUUGUCAGAUCCUAUUAGUGGUGAGCUAACAGUUGAAGCAUCUGCGGUUCCUAUUCUCUCCAUUGAUAUCCACUUGCUUCGUGUGGAAUCAACUCUUCUCGGAGAAAGAAUCAUCACUGAAACCUCUCUAAUUCAAACUACCCAGAUAGCAGAUGGAGAUGUCUGCCGUCAAAUGACUCUUCCCAUUUACGUCAUAGUCCCCCGUCUUUUGACUUGUCCGACAAUUUAUGCUGGUCCAUUUUCAAUAGAAUUCAAAGUGUCAAUUGUCAUUACCUUUGCAUCGGAGCUAUCAAAGUUGCAUCCAAAAUCAGAUCCUAGAACUCCUAGACAGUGGCUGGCAAUGGAAAGUGUACCUCUGGAAUUGGUUCGGACGAAGUAAGAUGAUCCAUGAUGUACGUAAUCUUCUGGUCAAAAUUUUCUUCCUUCUAAACAAAAAUGGAGGCAGUAGCUCAGUUGGUCCGAGAUGGCUCAGCCUUGAUAAGACUUCAAAAGGAAGAGUAUAGCAUCUGCAGCCUGCUCUUGGAAUGAGGUGGGUUAUCCUUACAGUGUGGUGUUUCUUUCUGUUGAUGGUCUUGCCUCGAAGGAGGUACUUCUCGAACUCGGAAACAUCAGAUUGCUGGAUGAUGUCCUGGAAACAAAACCUACAUCUUGACACCUUUAGAUAUGCAUCUCCUCCACCUACCAACUUUCAUAUGAGCGAUGACAUUGGAUUAGACCGACACGAGAAACAAAUAAAUGAAAAGUUGAUGGGUAGUUGAACCUGUAAAUAAAAAAAUGAAAACUUGUAGCAUUGAGACCCUACAGAACCAAAUGUACGGGGUGGUUACUUCAAAGUCCCCAUUUUUUAUUACGAUGUUUUCUUUCGUUUUCCUCCUUUUGACCUUCUUGUUGAGAAGAAAUUGAGUUGAGAAUUGAGAUA